UUUGAGGUUGUCAAGUGAAGGAGGCUCCCGGCCCCCCCCGCUCCCCCCGCUCUUUCUCCCUCCCUCCCUCCCUCUCCCUCCCGCCGCCGCCGCCGCCGCCGCGCAGGGGUCGCCGCGCUCCCCGCCGCUGCCGCCGCCAUCAGCCGCCGCGCCGGCCCCUCCGCCAGCAUACGGAUUAACUGAGGCCUUUGACAAGUUUAUGGAGCUGCCAUCUCUCUGCUUGCUGUACUUUCCGUUUCUGAGAGGAGAAAGUGGUGCAUGAGAUUAGAGGAAAAUGCCUCGGACAAAGCAGAUACAUCCCAGAAAUCUGAGAGAAGACAAGUUGUUGCUGUUUUUCCUUCUCAAUCAAGUAUUUCUCUUUGGAAACAAUGGCAGACAGGCCCAUAAUGUUCAACAGCCGCUUCCAAAUCUUCUAGUGCUUUGCAUUUGAUAAGGAAAUGCAAGUAUAAUAUAAGUAACUUUGCUGAAUAGGUUGAUAGCUUUGCAAUAAUCUAAAAGUCAUGCUUAAGUUUGCUGGAAAGCUGUGUAUGUAAUGGCUUUAAAAUGUCCAGUGGAGCUGGGCAUCUUCUGCUUCUCAAGUGUGAGUUAACAAAGUCUCUCUGUGUUGUUUUAAGAUUGUAAUGUGCUUUUAGUGCUGAAAUAGGUCUGUCUGUGUUGAAAGCUGACAGAUUGAUACUCCUUAUUAGUGUUGGUUUUGUAGUCUAAGUUAUGAAUAGAUUUGUGUGCUGUACUUUAUUCAUGAUUUUCAUCAAAUGCCUUAAUAAAAAUAUUGAGCUUU
Molecule: non-coding RNA, 778 nt
Organism: Agelaius phoeniceus (red-winged blackbird)
Lineage: Eukaryota; Metazoa; Chordata; Aves; Passeriformes; Icteridae
Source: RefSeq, a predicted model, not a curated record